This 75-nucleotide transfer RNA is filed under the name Acidiferrobacteraceae bacterium. Its description in RNAcentral is "tRNA-Arg". The record is from RNAcentral. Lineage: Bacteria; Pseudomonadati; Pseudomonadota; Gammaproteobacteria; Acidiferrobacterales; Acidiferrobacteraceae.
GCGCCAAGAAUUAGGAGAACGACUACCUAGCUUCGAAUCAGGUGGUCGGGAGUUCGAGUCUCUCCGGGCGCGCCA